GACUUGGUAGCAUAUUUGGUAAAGGCUGAACUUCUAUUAUAGUGUAUUAGCAUCUAGAUAAUGUUGCUGGUUCAAAUCCUGCCCAAGUUA
Transfer RNA from Puccinia sorghi, 90 nucleotides. It matches the Rfam family "tRNA". From Rfam's summary of the family: Transfer RNA (tRNA) molecules are approximately 80 nucleotides in length. The record is from Rfam. Lineage: Eukaryota; Fungi; Basidiomycota; Pucciniomycetes; Pucciniales; Pucciniaceae.